GCCAGCUGUCCUGCGUCACUCCUUCAGUUCUCAGCUUAGAUUUCCUGUCCUUGGGAAGCUGUCAUCAUCCUUCUAUCUUUACACCCCAUGAUUUACCCCUUGCAGUGUACUUAUUACACUGUAUUGGAAUCGCUUCUUUUCUCUUUCUCUGUGAAUUUCUUGAGAGCACAGACUACAUUCUGCUUAACUUUUUAUCCCCAGCUUUCAGCACAGUGCCUGGCUGCUUUGGCGUCUCCAAGUACCUGACCUCAGCUCAACCUGUCUUGGGUUUUCUUCUCCUCCCUGACAUUGACAACCCAGCCCUCCUAGGCACAGAGAGAUGGAGCUGAGUGUGGUUUUCCUGAAAUAAAGCUUGCAUUAUGAGAGGGAAUAAACAGGUACAUAGUGUUUUAGACGGCAGCAUUUUAACUUCAUGUAGGCAUUGUUUUCAUGACAAUUUUCUUUUGUUUCUCCUUUUGUUAUGAAAUAUGCAUUUCGCCAAUAUUAAAUGGAAUAUUCCAGAAGAAAAAAAUAAAAAAGCCUAAUUAUUUGGUAUUGUAUGCUACAAAAGAGAAAUGCCAUAAUUCCCAGUGGGGGCUGUGGAUACUGGACCCCCAUAACCAGGUGCCAGAGAUCACGUGGUGUUCAAAGUCCAAAUUAUAAGCAUAGUGCCGAGGACUCUGAGGAUGACUUCUGCACAUCUUCCGAAAAGGGAUGGAACAGCAGAAUGAGUGCCAUCAUGGCUUGGAUGGUUGGAGGUGCUUUGGGCAUGAAGACCCUCUAACUGUGAAGUUAGAGGCUUCCAAUGUUAGCUCUGUUUUAAGUAUAUGCACAAAGUCACAGUCUCAUAGCUGAGCUAUUAAAAAUAAAAUCAACACCAA
This is a long non-coding RNA of Homo sapiens (human), 860 nucleotides long. The record is from Ensembl. NCBI's taxonomy places the organism in Eukaryota, Metazoa, Chordata, Mammalia, Primates, Hominidae.